CAUGAGGGCAGGUGUACCCCGUGCAUGCUCCAGAUUUAGGUAUGUGCCUGAAACUGGUUAUACUGUGAAUGUAAGUAUUUUGCCUGCAUAGUUUCUACAGCUGCCAUUGCUGUGAACCAAUGCAUGAUUUUAAAGUAAGUAAAUCUUAUUUGAAACUUACUUCCCAAGUUGUUUCCUGAUUCUUUGUGAAGCAGGGUGAGAAAGGGAGAGCCACUUUACUUCAUAGCUGGGCUUGCUUAAAACAAUAUUUUACAAUCUAUUUCCUGUGCUUUUAAUUUUUGCUGUCCACGGUGGGAUUUUAAAACUCUAUUUAGCCCACAUAUGUGGGAGCCUGGAGGGAUAAAUUGCAAUUACCUACCUAUUAAAACCCAUCCCACAGUAUGUGUGUGAGCGAAAGGUGUGGUGGGGAAGGAGAGGAGGAAUAGUUCUGUUGCACUAGCAGGGGUCCUUGCGCUGGCUUCUGUGGGUGCAAAUACAUGGUUGAUUCCAACUCAUGGUCUUUAGAAGAGGCUCAGCUGUCAUGAUUAAAAUACAACUAGGAGGGUGAUCUUUAUUUACUGCUGUAGCAGGAUUCCCCCACUCUCACCGCCACAAUGAAGAGAGAAGACCCCCAUCUAACAAGGGAACAUACCGGUACUUUAUAUAGUGCUUUAAAUUUAAAAUACAUGAAACUACACUUCCAUUGGUUACAUCACAAUACAGUGGGAAGAUCUUCCAGUUAAAUCCACUCUCUGUGUUACCAGCAUGUUUAGCUGUACACUUAUCCAAACAAAACCUUUUGCAAACUUUUGAUGUUGCUCUUUCUGCCUCUCCCAAACAAGAUCCUUUCAAUGAGUGUAACACUGUUAUUUCAUGUGCAAGCUCCUCUUCCAAAGAUAAGAGGACCGUGAGCGAUUCAGAACAUUUCUCUCAUGUUCCCUUAAUGCCUUGAAAACCAAGGCUCCCUAACAACACAGCUUCAGGGUUUUAGAAUGGGAAGGGAAGGGUUUUUCUCUUUAUAAGGGCAACGCUAAGCAGAAGCAGUAGGGCCAACUUAUUUAACCGUGCAAGUUGUUGUUUGUCAGAAGCCUUUUUGUUUCAUAUAUGCAUAGUUAAUGCUUUUAAAACACGUCUCCAACUCUCAAAUUCUAUGCUAUCAUUUCAUUAUUAGUAAAGCUGUGUUUUUGAAGUUUUUGGCUUUCCGCAGGAGAUUUAGCCUGGGAAAAGUUUGAGCUAACCACAUUCCAGAGGUGGGAGGUGUGUAAGAGUUUGAGAGUGGUUUUAGCUUACAGGAAGGGUGAAGAAAGGUGAUGCAGGCAAUCUGAAUUCUUCUCUACUUUAAGAGAAGUUCCUAUGCAUGUGGAGAGACCAGUUUGGCUGUUUCUUAGUAAAGACUCAGGUUAUCGAGCCUGGGCUUCCACAGCCACCACCCACCAUGAACCACCAUUCGCAGGAUUGGCAACAACAGCUGCAGAUGUGUUCUAUCUUCAUGAAUAUUCUCUUGCUAAUUAUGUUGUUUUAAAUGUACAUUUUAUAUUUGACUUCCUUUAGUCAUGUUUUCUUUUGCAACGUUAAAGUAUUCCCCCCCCCCCCCGUUAACUUUGCUGCAUUUAAUGUGCAUUCUGUACUUUACCUCUUUUCACAGAAUCAUAGAUUUGCAGAGUUGGAAAAGACUCUGAGAGUCAUCUAGUCCGACCCUCUACAAUGCAGGAAUCUCAGCUAGAUCAUACAUGACAGAUGGCUACAUCUAUUCUUCAGACUGCAUCAAUUUAAUGUUUUGCUUUGAAAUCUUUUAGAUAAUAUUUUAGUAUCCUGUUAAUUAUAUUGCUUUGGAUGUACUUUAUAGUUGACUUUCUUCUGUAAUAUUUUAUUUUGGAUUGCUUUGUGACAUGUUUUGUGCCAUGUUUUAAUGUGGGUAGUAAAAUUUAUUUAUUUUUAAAAAUGAAGCAGUAUAGAAAUGAAAUAAAAAUAAUAAAAAUAUCAAGAUGAUCAAAACCUGGAUCUUGGCAGGGAAGAAUGCUGUUUUCUCAAGCCAAUUGGCAUUAUGGAUUCUGGGCGGG
This 2039-nucleotide long non-coding RNA is filed under the name Podarcis lilfordi (Lilford's wall lizard). Lineage: Eukaryota; Metazoa; Chordata; Lepidosauria; Squamata; Lacertidae. The record is from RNAcentral.